UCACUUCAAAUUUAAAUCAAUCAUAUCCGAGUGACCUUUUAUGUUUAUGUUGACAAGUGCCUUAUACAGGAAAUGUAAGAUUUGUAGGAUUUGUUGAAAAAUAUAGAAUAACUGCAGCUUUAUCCUUUGAAUAACCACUGCAUGGUUUAAACGUAGGCUCACUGUAGUCUGUGUGUGGCUGACAACACAAAGUGCAGGUAUAUCAGCCCACACUAUGAUCUCCCAUAAGUGUUGAUCCACUGAAGUUGCUGCGUAAUGACUGGAUGUUUUCUUUGGCCAACAGUCCCGUCCUGUUUGAGCAACACAAGGGACAAUGGUCUCAUUGGCAAGAUGGACUGGUUUGAUGAUUUAAUAUAAAAGCUCUCACUCAUCAGGUGUCAAGUCCGUACGUCUCCACUAAGAGCAACAUAAACCGCUUGUAAAGAAAUAAUGGUAUUAUUAGGUAAAUCAAGUUGUUCAGUUGUUGGUUUUAAAUGCUGUAAAUCACAAUUAAAAGAACAUUAAGCUGCACAGUCAAGCAUAACCUCCUCAGGAGAGCCUUAUUAACUAAUGACCCUAAUAUAUCCUGCAUUACAGUGGCUGCUCUUUAACUUAAUCCUUUCAAUCAUUCUGAAAUGGCCACAGCUCUGUGCCCGGUACAAAGAGAGGUCAACUUCAUGGUGAGGUCAGACAGAGGUCAUCCUAAGACUGGGAGGUACAAGAGGUUUCAGUUAAAGAUAUGUUGUGUUGUGGUUUAUCAUGUCUGAGAUUAUUUUUGAGAUCAUCUCACAUUCUGAGAUGUGAGGAAAAAAAUCAGUAAAACAAUAACAUUAGCCUAAUUCUAACCAUUUGAACCAACCCCCUGAGAAACCUCUGAAAUGUGGAAUAAAACCAUUUUAUUUAAACCUUUCUUCAGAAGACGUCAGACCAGAGGAGUUAAUGCGCCGACUGAAAUGGGUGAAAGGGAAACUUCCUAGUCAAUAAUGGACGCAUGAACCUGCAUUCACUGGCCAUUGUCUUUCAGUUAGCACCAGGAAGAGGGUCCAGUCUGGAGGGGGGAGAAUAAAAGAAGCUUUGUAAAUCUGCAAAGAGGAAAUACGAUCAACCGGUGCCAUUGUCCACACUUUAUAAAACCCUGGACAAGACAAGUACUGAGGCCCCAUCUGGUGUGAUGGUUGACAGAGGAAACAUUAGCUCUCCAUGGAAAGGACCUGGUGGAACUCACUGAUUUUGCAGAGCCAGCUGACCAGGAUCCACAGGGCCACCAGGUACGGGGUGGAGACAUGGUGCCACUUCCAGGUCACAAUAGGCAGGGUGGUGAUGGGCCCUCCUCCGUGACCACUGUCUCCGC
Scophthalmus maximus (turbot) is the source of this 1330-nucleotide long non-coding RNA. RefSeq lists it as uncharacterized. Lineage: Eukaryota; Metazoa; Chordata; Actinopteri; Pleuronectiformes; Scophthalmidae. The transcript has 3 exons. The record is from RefSeq and is a predicted model, not a curated record.